CCUACGGGUGGCAGCAGUGAGGAAUAUUGGUCAAUGGGCGCGAGCCUGAACCAGCCAAGUAGCGUGAAGGAUGACUGCCCUACGGGUUGUAAACUUCUUUUAUAAAGGAAUAAAGUGAGGCACGUGUGCCUUUUUGUAUGUACUUUAUGAAUAAGGAUCGGCUAACUCCGUGCCAGCAGCCGCGGUAAUACGGAGGAUGCGAGCGUUAUCCGGAUUUAUUGGGUUUAAAGGGUGCGCAGGCGGCCUGUUAAGUCAGCGGUAAAAGCCCGGGGCUCAACCCCGGCGAGCCGUUGAAACUGGCGGGCUGGAGUUGGAGAGAAGUACGCGGAAUGCGCGGUGUAGCGGUGAAAUGCUUAGAUAUCGCGCAGAACCCCGAUUGCGAAGGCAGCGUACCGGCUCCACACUGACGCUGAGGCACGAAAGCGUGGGUAUCGAACAGGAUUAGAUACCCCAGUAGUC
This 459-nucleotide ribosomal RNA is filed under the name uncultured bacterium. RNAcentral describes it as "partial 16S ribosomal RNA". It matches the Rfam family "Bacterial small subunit ribosomal RNA", at positions 338 to 795 of the family's 1533-position model. The record is from RNAcentral.